GACAGAGGGUGCAAACGUUGUUCGGAAUUACUGGGCGUAAAGCGCGUGUAGGCAGCUUCGCAAGUCGGGUGUGAAAGCCCUGGGCUCAACCUAGGAAGUGCACUCGAAACUGCGGAGCUUGAGUCUCGGAGAGGGUCGCGGAAUUCUCGGUGUAGAGGUGAAAUUCGUAGAUAUCGAGAGGAACACCGGUGGCGAAGGCGGCGACCUGGACGAUGACUGACGCUGAGACGCGAAAGCGUGGGGAGCAAACAGG
This 253-nucleotide ribosomal RNA is filed under the name uncultured bacterium. Its description in RNAcentral is "partial 16S ribosomal RNA". It matches the Rfam family "Bacterial small subunit ribosomal RNA", at positions 524 to 776 of the family's 1533-position model. The record is from RNAcentral.